AAUGCCGGAUGUUCCACAUGAUCGCAUGUGAUUGUGGGAAAGAUUCUAUCGGCGUGGGAUGGGGUCGCGUCCUAUCAGCUUGUUGGUGAGGUAACGGCUCACCAAGGCUUCGACGGGUAGCCGGCCUGAGAGGGCGACCGGCCACAUUGGGACUGAGAUACGGCCCAGACUCCUACGGGAGGCAGCAGUGGGGAAUAUUGCACAAUGGGCGCAAGCCUGAUGCAGCGACGCCGCGUGAGGGAUGGAGGCCUUCGGGUUGUAAACCUCUUUUGUUUGGGAGCAAGCCUUCGGGUGAGUGUACCUUUCGAAUAAGCGCCGGCUAACUACGUGCCAGCAGCCGCGGUAAUACGUAGGGCGCAAGCGUUAUCCGGAUUUAUUGGGCGUAAAGGGCUCGUAGGCGGCUCGUCGCGUCCGGUGUGAAAGUCCAUCGCUUAACGGUGGAUCUGCGCCGGGUACGGGCGGGCUGGAGUGCGGUAGGGGAGACUGGAAUUCCCGGUGUAACGGUGGAAUGUGUAG
RNAcentral lists this ribosomal RNA (516 nucleotides) under Bifidobacterium bifidum. Its description in RNAcentral is "bacterial SSU rRNA". It matches the Rfam family "Bacterial small subunit ribosomal RNA", at positions 165 to 693 of the family's 1533-position model. The record is from RNAcentral. Lineage: Bacteria; Bacillati; Actinomycetota; Actinomycetes; Bifidobacteriales; Bifidobacteriaceae.